GACGAACGCUGGCGGCGUGCUUAACACAUGCAAGUCGAACGGAAAGGCCCUGCUUUUGUUGGGUGCUCGAGUGGCGAACGGGUGAGUAACACGUGAGUAACCUGCCCCUGUCUUUGUGAUAACUUCAGGAAACUGGGGCUAAUAUCGCAUAGGAGCUCCUGCUGCAUGGUGGGGGUUGGAAAGAUUCGGCGGUUGUGGAUGGACUCGCGGCUUAUCAGCUUGUUGGUGGGGUUGUGGCUUACCAAGGGUUUGACGGGUAGCCGGCCUGAGAGGGGGACCGGCCACAAUGGGACUGAGAGACGGCCCAGACGCCUACGGGAGGCAGCGGUGGGGAAUAUUGCGCAAUGGGCGGAAGCCUGAUGCGGCAACGCCGCGUGCGGGAUGACGGCCUUCGAGUUGUAAACAGCUGUCUCCUGUGACGAAGCCGGAGUGACGGUAAUGGGUAAAGAAGCACCGGCUAACUACGUG
RNAcentral lists this ribosomal RNA (468 nucleotides) under uncultured bacterium. Its description in RNAcentral is "partial 16S ribosomal RNA". It matches the Rfam family "Bacterial small subunit ribosomal RNA", at positions 28 to 507 of the family's 1533-position model. The record is from RNAcentral.